This 731-nucleotide ribosomal RNA is filed under the name uncultured Staphylococcus sp. RNAcentral describes it as "bacterial SSU rRNA". It matches the Rfam family "Bacterial small subunit ribosomal RNA", at positions 44 to 757 of the family's 1533-position model. The record is from RNAcentral. Lineage: Bacteria; Bacillati; Bacillota; Bacilli; Caryophanales; Staphylococcaceae.
GUGCCUAAUACAUGCAAGUCGAGCGAACGGACGAGAAGCUUGCUUCUCUGAUGUUAGCGGCGGACGGGUGAGUAACACGUGGAUAACCUACCUAUAAGACUGGGAUAACUUCGGGAAACCGGAGCUAAUACCGGAUAAUAUUUUGAACCGCAUGGUUCAAAAGUGAAAGACGGUCUUGCUGUCACUUAUAGAUGGAUCCGCGCUGCAUUAGCUAGUUGGUAAGGUAACGGCUUACCAAGGCAACGAUGCAUAGCCGACCUGAGAGGGUGAUCGGCCACACUGGAACUGAGACACGGUCCAGACUCCUACGGGAGGCAGCAGUAGGGAAUCUUCCGCAAUGGGCGAAAGCCUGACGGAGCAGCGCCGCGUGAGUGAUGAAGGUCUUCGGAUCGUAAAACUCUGUUAUUAGGGAAGAACAUAUGUGUAAGUAACUGUGCACAUCUUGACGGUACCUAAUCAGAAAGCCACGGCUAACUACGUGCCAGCAGCCGCGGUGAUACGUAGGUGGCAAGCGUUAUCCGGAAUUAUUGGGCGUAAAGCGCGCGUAGGCGGUUUUUUAAGUCUGAUGUGAAAGCCCACGGCUCAACCGUGGAGGGUCAUUGGAAACUGGAAAACUUGAGUGCAGAAGAGGAAAGUGGAAUUCCAUGUGUAGCGGUGAAAUGCGCAGAGAUAUGGAGGAACACCAGUGGCGAAGGCGACUUUCUGGUCUGUAACUGACGCUGAUGUGCGAA